GCACCUGCGGUAAUUCCAGCUCCAAUAGCGUAUAUUAAAGUUGUUGCAGUUAGAACGCUCGUAGUCGGAUUUCGGGGCGGGCCGACCGGUCUGCCGAUGGGUACGCACUGGCCGGCGCGUCCUUCCUUCCGGAGACCGUGCCUACUCUUAACUGAGCGGGGGCGGGAGACGGAUCGUUUACUUUGAAAAAAUCAGAGUGUUUCAAGCAGGCAGCUCGCUCUUGCAUGGAUUAGCAUGGGAUAAUGAAAUAGGACUUUGGUGCUAUUUUGUUGGUUUCGAACACCGAAGUAAUGAUUAAAAGGGACAGUCAGGGGCACUCGUAUUCCGCCGAGAGAGGUGAAAUUCUCAGACCAGCGGAAGACGAACCACUGCGAAAGCAUUUGCCAGGGAUGUUUUCGUUGAUCAAGAACGAAAGU
RNAcentral lists this ribosomal RNA (416 nucleotides) under uncultured eukaryote. Its description in RNAcentral is "SSU rRNA". It matches the Rfam family "Eukaryotic small subunit ribosomal RNA", at positions 570 to 990 of the family's 1831-position model. The record is from RNAcentral.